GGAAGAAGAAGAAAGAGUGAGUGCGAGCGUGGGCCGCACUAUGCACUGCCGAGUCAGUGCGUCCCGACUCGGCUGAGCCAUCAAGUCUAGAUCAGUCCAGAUUCUUGCUAGUAAGAAGGAAAGGAAGGAGAAUAAGAGAGAGAAGGAGAGAAGGAGAGCAUGACUCGAACCGAGUCAACUUUAGAUACAAUUCUAAGGGUACAAGCACUUAGUGACACUAGAAGGCGAUUCAAAGUAUAAGGUGAUGAUUCUUCCCCUUGAGCUUUCCAUCUUCUCAUUAGCUUAUGUUAUAGUUUUUAU
Molecule: long non-coding RNA, 300 nt
Organism: Magnolia sinica
Lineage: Eukaryota; Viridiplantae; Streptophyta; Magnoliopsida; Magnoliales; Magnoliaceae
Exons: 2
Source: RefSeq, a predicted model, not a curated record